RNAcentral lists this ribosomal RNA (253 nucleotides) under uncultured bacterium. RNAcentral's name for it is "partial 16S ribosomal RNA". It matches the Rfam family "Bacterial small subunit ribosomal RNA", at positions 524 to 776 of the family's 1533-position model. The record is from RNAcentral.
UACGAAGGGGGCUAGCGUUGCUCGGAAUUACUGGGCGUAAAGCGCACGUAGGCGGCUUUCUAAGUCGGACGUGAAAUCCCUCGGCUUAACCGAGGAACUGCGUCCGAUACUGAAAGGCUUGAAUCCGGGAGAGGGAUGUGGAAUUCCAGGUGUAGCGGUGAAAUGCGUAGAUAUCUGGAGGAACACCGGUGGCGAAGGCGGCAUCCUGGACCGGUAUUGACGCUGAGGCGCGAAAGCUAGGGGAGCAAACGGG